ACGGAAGGCAGCAGUGGGGAAUAUUGGGCAAUGGGCGCAAGCCUGACCCAGCAAUGCCGCGUGAAGGAAGAAGGCUUUCGGGUUGUAAACUUCUUUUAAGUGGGACGAUAAUGACGGUACCACUUAAAUAAGCUCCGGCUAACUACGUGCCAGCAGCCGCGGUAAUACGUAGGGAGCAAGCGUUAUCCGGAUUUACUGGGUGUAAAGGGCGUGUAGGCGGGACUACAAGUCAGAUGUGAAAGCACGAGGCUCAACUUCGUGUCUGCAUUUGAAACUGUAGUUCUUGAGUGUUGGAGAGGCUAACGGAACUCCUAGUGUAGCGGUGAAAUGCGUAGAUAUUAGGAAGAACACCAGUGGCGAAGGCGGUUAGCUGGACAAUAACUGACGCUGAGGCGCGAAAGCGUGGGCAGCAAACAGGAUUAGAUACCCUGGUA
RNAcentral lists this ribosomal RNA (434 nucleotides) under uncultured Oscillospiraceae bacterium. RNAcentral describes it as "bacterial SSU rRNA". It matches the Rfam family "Bacterial small subunit ribosomal RNA", at positions 341 to 792 of the family's 1533-position model. Lineage: Bacteria; Bacillati; Bacillota; Clostridia; Eubacteriales; Oscillospiraceae. The record is from RNAcentral.